Molecule: unclassified non-coding RNA, 1415 nt
Filed under: uncultured fungus
Lineage: Eukaryota; Fungi
Description: sequence contains 18S rRNA gene, ITS1, 5.8S rRNA gene, ITS2, 28S rRNA gene
Rfam family: Eukaryotic large subunit ribosomal RNA (bases 444-1415)
Source: RNAcentral
GGAAGGAUCAUUAACACAAUAUCCUUACACCUUGUGUGAACUGUAAUGUUGUUGUUUUCACCUUUAUCUGAAUUACAAGAGCAAGCUGAACUCUAACGAGUGCAGUGAGCGAAAUUAACAUACACAACUGCUAGCAACGGAUGUCUUGGUUCUCGCAACGAUGAAGAACGCAGCGAAUUGCGAUAAGUAAUGUGAAUCGUAAGAUUCAGUGAAUCAUCAAAUCUUUGAACGCAAACGGCGCUCUCUGGAACUCCGGGGAGCAUACCUGUUUGAGCAUCAACAACAUAUCCAAUAUCCUCUUUAUUGAAGAUGCUGGGUGAAUGAGCGUCAUGCAGCAAUGCAUGUUGCUUGAAGAACAUGGCUGGAGACAGCGACCGACGGUGAGGUUUCGGCCUAACAGUUGGACGUCUAUCUCGCAACAGCACGAUGUAAGACAUCAAACUUGAUCUCAAAUCAGGUAAGACUACCCGCUGAAUUGAAGCAUCUAAUUAAGCGGAGGAAAAGAAACUAACAAGGAUUCCCCUAGUAACGGCGAGUGAAGAGGGAAGAGCUCAAACUUAAAAUCUGGGAGGUUUCCUCUCCGAAUUGUAGUCUAUAGAAGCGCAACCGGGCUUUGACCUUUGUCCAAGUUCCCUGGAAGGGGGCAUCAGAGAGGGUGACAAUCCCGUAUCUGGCGAAGGAUCAGAGUCCAUACGGUGCGUAUUCGACGAGUCGAGUUGUUUGGGAAUGCAGCUCUAAAUGGGUGGUAAAUUCCAUCUAAAGCUAAAUAUUGGCGAGAGACCGAUAGCGAACAAGUACCGUGAGGGAAAGAUGAAAAGAACUUUGAAAAGAGAGUUAAAAGUGCCUGAAAUUGCUAGCAUGGAAGCGAUUGAAACUGGUUAACUGCAUGCUGGAUUGCGCGGUGACUUCCGUUCUGCGGAUUUGCUGUGUAUCUCCAGUGUGUAGAAGUCAACUCCGGUUACUGGAUGGGUUAUCUGCAUGUGGAAGGUAGAUCAGGCUUGCCUGGUUGUUAUAGCCUAUUGCAGUGCCUGUUCGGGGACCAGGUAGCGGGCGCAAGCUCCUGUUGACGUAACGGUUUUAACCGUCCCGUCUUGAAACACGGACCAAGGAGUCUAACAUAUAUGCGAGUAUUGUGGUGGCAAACCACAGUGCGCAAUGAAAGUGAAGGCUUGCUCGGCAGGCUGAGGUGUGAACUCUAGCAAUAGAGCGCAACAUCGACCGAUCUAUCGGUUUACCGAAAGAUUUGAGUAAGAGCAUAUACGUUGGGACCCGAAAGAUGGUGAACUAUGCCUGGGUAGGAUGAAGCCAGAGGAAACUCUGGUGGAGGUCCGAAGCGGUUUUGACGUGCAAAUCAAUCGUCGAAUCUGGGUAUAGGGGCGAAAGACUAAUCGAACCAUCUAGUAGCUGGUUCCCUC